RNAcentral lists this ribosomal RNA (228 nucleotides) under Klebsiella pneumoniae. RNAcentral describes it as "partial 23S ribosomal RNA". It matches the Rfam family "Bacterial large subunit ribosomal RNA", at positions 813 to 1038 of the family's 2925-position model. Lineage: Bacteria; Pseudomonadati; Pseudomonadota; Gammaproteobacteria; Enterobacterales; Enterobacteriaceae. The record is from RNAcentral.
GGCUGGGGGUGAAAGGCCAAUCAAACCGGGAGAUAGCUGGUUCUCCCCGAAAGCUAUAUAGGUAGCGCCUCGUGAAUUCAUCUUCGGGGGUAGAGCACUGUUUCGGCUAGGGGGUCAUCCCGACUGACCAACCCGAUGCAAACUACGAAUACCGAAGAAUGUUAUCACGGGAGACACCCGGCGGGUGCUACCGUCCGUCGGGACGAGGGACACUACCCAGACCGCCAG